Long non-coding RNA from Etheostoma cragini (Arkansas darter), 102 nucleotides. RefSeq lists it as uncharacterized. The record is from RefSeq and is a predicted model, not a curated record. Lineage: Eukaryota; Metazoa; Chordata; Actinopteri; Perciformes; Percidae. The transcript has 4 exons.
ACUAUCCAAUGAGAGACUCCUAAGGCCAAUUCUCAGCAAACUAUCAAAGACUCUUUCUACCCAUAUUGCCGGACAACAUAUUGGAACGUGGCAUGGCACAUU